Long non-coding RNA from Cololabis saira (Pacific saury), 1366 nucleotides. RefSeq lists it as uncharacterized. NCBI's taxonomy places the organism in Eukaryota, Metazoa, Chordata, Actinopteri, Beloniformes, Belonidae. The transcript has 4 exons. The record is from RefSeq and is a predicted model, not a curated record.
UUUCGAGCAAGAAUUUGACAUUGUUUUUUCUAUAUAGAAGGCCUAAAUAUUUUAUGUAGUUAAUAUGGACCUCAAGCCAAUAAGCUUAUAUGGGCUUAAAUCCUCUGAGCAGACCUUGAAUUGAAAGAUGUUAUUUUAUUUUAUUUUAUUUUAAUUUUUGCAAACGGUUACAGUACAAUUAAAUAGAUGAAAGAAACAAAUUAUUAUCUUGUUGUUUCUGUCGCUAUGGCAACCCGGAUCGAAGCUGCUGAUGCCGUUUCUAGCCCGGAUAUGGAAACUACGUAAUGAAUGACUCAUGAUAACGUUUGUGGUAAAAACAAAAACAAAAACAGAAGAAGAAGAAGAAGAAGAAGAAGAUAAAGAAGAUAAAGAAGAUAACGAUAUCAGCGUAUUGUGCUUUCGUCCUCUCAAGAGCAAAAUCAUACUCCAACUAUGAGAAGUGGACUACGGUGAAAUAUCUGAUUGCGUGUCGUCCUGCAGGCAGAAUCACCUUCUUGUCCCAUGCCUGGGGGUGCAGGUGCCUGGGGGGGCAGGGCAUCACAUGUUAAGAUAACAAAGGAAUCGGGCUUCAUUUCACCUGCUACCACAACAUGGGGACCAGAUUUUGGCUGAUCGGGGCUUUACCCUGAAAGAUGACUUUUCCGUGCUAGGUGUCAGUCUCAUAACCCCAGCCUUCACUCGUGGCAAGAAGCAGCUCACAGGCAAAGACGAUGAAGAAUCCAAAAUUAAAUCAAAAAUUCGGAUUCAUGUUGGCAAAACGGGUGAUAGGUGUGCUGAAGCGGAGAUUCCCCAUCCUGGAUGGGCCACUCCCUCGCUGCUUCGUCAAGACCCUGUGGGAUGAGGUGAAGGAAAGGGAUAAGGUUUCCAUAAACAAGAUAGUACAUGUCUGUGCUGCCUUGGUCAACCUGUCAGGUAGCGUUGUGUUCAAUAAAAGCAGAGAGGGGGAUGUGUUGGUCAAAAUACUCUGACAGUCUUACUCUAUUCUGUGUUAAAAUGAGUCACGUAGCAACUUUCCAUUUCCACAAUCUACCUUACUGCACUGCGCUUCCCCCUGAGCUGACAGUAGAGGUCUCCUGUAAAUAUAAAUAAACUGUGUCUUAUGAAUCUUCUUGACAUAAACCUAAUUGUCAUUUCUAUUAUACAUUUUCAUUUUAACAUCAUUUCAAAUCUAAUUUGAUGUUUAAGAAAGUAUAGAACCCUGAAUAUAGUAAAUGAAUUUUCCACAUAACUGUUAAGCAGUGUUUUGAACAUUCAGUAGCCAUUUGGUGCCCAAAUAUUAAUUCUGGACCCUGUAAUGGAGUGUUUUAUAUAUUUUGUGUUUUUACCUGAAGCUCCUGUUCUGAAGCACUGUCUGUGGACUCCUGAU